Non-coding RNA from Triticum aestivum (bread wheat), 114 nucleotides. Lineage: Eukaryota; Viridiplantae; Streptophyta; Magnoliopsida; Poales; Poaceae. The record is from Rfam.
UACAUACUCCCUCCGUCUUAAAAUUCUUAUCUUAAAUUUGUCUACAUAAGGAUGUAUCUACAUCCUUAUGUAGACAAAUCUAAGAUAAGAAUUUUAGGACAGAGGGAGUAUGAU